RNAcentral lists this unclassified non-coding RNA (2563 nucleotides) under Hevea brasiliensis (rubber tree). Lineage: Eukaryota; Viridiplantae; Streptophyta; Magnoliopsida; Malpighiales; Euphorbiaceae. The record is from RNAcentral.
GGGGAAAAGAAACCCUAUUUCGCUUGCAUUCUAUUAUACGUUCUAUUCUUUUCAAAACAUUGUUAUUUUCGUGAUCUGUGAGGAUGACCGGCAAAGGAGAGGGACCAGCGAUCGGAAUCGAUCUGGGUACUACUUACUCUUGCGUGGGUGUUUGGCAACAUGAUAGAGUGGAGAUCAUAGCUAAUGAUCAAGGCAACAGAACGACGCCGUCUUAUGUUGCCUUUACCGAUUCCGAGCGCUUGAUCGGCGAUGCUGCCAAGAACCAGGUCGCGAUGAACCCCAUCAACACCGUCUUUGAUGCAAAGCGGUUGAUUGGUAGGAGAUUUAGCGAUGCCACGGUUCAGAGUGACGCCAAACUCUGGCCGUUCAAGGUUAUUUCUGGACCUGGUGAUAAGCCUAUGAUUGUUGUCACCUACAAGGGUGAGGAAAAGCAGUUUGCUGCUGAGGAAAUCUCUUCCAUGGUCCUUAUUAAAAUGCGUGAGAUUGCUGAGGCUUACCUUGGCAACACUGUGAAGAAUGCCGUGGUCACUGUCCCUGCCUACUUCAAUGAUUCUCAGAGGCAGGCCACAAAGGAUGCUGGUGUCAUUGCAGGUCUCAACGUCAUGCGUAUCAUCAAUGAGCCCACUGCUGCUGCAAUUGCUUAUGGCCUUGAUAAAAAGGCAUCAAGUGUAGGUGAGAAGAAUGUCUUGAUUUUUGAUUUGGGUGGUGGCACUUUUGAUGUGUCAUUGCUCACAAUUGAAGAGGGUAUCUUCGAGGUCAAGGCUACAGCUGGAGACACCCAUCUCGGAGGUGAGGAUUUUGACAACAGAAUGGUGAACCACUUCGUUCAGGAAUUUAAGAGGAAGAACAAGAAAGACAUCAGUGGAAAUCCUAGAGCUCUUAGGAGGUUGAGGACAGCUUGUGAAAGGGCGAAGAGAACUCUCUCAUCUACUGCUCAGACAACCAUUGAGAUUGAUUCAUUGUAUGAGGGUAUUGAUUUCUACACAACUAUCACCCGUGCCAGAUUUGAGGAGCUUAAUAUGGAUCUUUUCAGGAAGUGUAUGGAGCCUGUUGAGAAGUGUUUGAGGGAUGCAAAGAUGGACAAGAGCGGCGUACAUGAUGUUGUUCUUGUUGGUGGUUCUACUAGAAUUCCUAAAGUGCAGCAAUUGUUGCAGGACUUAUUCAAUGGGAAGGAGCUUUGCAAAAGCAUAAACCCUGAUGAGGCUGUUGCUUAUGGGGCUGCUGUGCAGGCUGCAAUCUUAAGUGGUGAGGGUAAUGAGAAGGUGCAAGAUCUGCUGCUCUUGGACGUUACCCCUCUGUCUCUUGGACUGGAAACUGCUGGAGGAGUGAUGACUGUCCUGAUACCAAGGAACACCACCAUUCCGACCAAGAAAGAGCAGGUGUUCUCGACCUACUCUGAUAACCAGCCUGGGGUUUUGAUCCAGGUCUUCGAGGGUGAGAGAACAAGAACAAGGGACAACAAUUUGCUCGGAAAAUUUGAGUUAUCUGGCAUUCCUCCAGCUCCCAGGGGUGUUCCUCAGAUCACCGUUUGCUUUGAUAUUGAUGCUAACGGUAUCUUAAAUGUUACUGCUGAGGAUAAGACUACUGGCCAGAAGAACAAGAUUACAAUUACUAAUGAUAAGGGCAGGUUGUCUAAGGACGAGAUUGAGAAGUUGGUACAGGAGGCUGAGAAGUACAAGGCCGAGGAUGAGGAACAUAAAAAGAAAGUUGAGGCCAAGAACGCUUUGGAGAACUAUGCCUACAACAUGAGGAACACCGUGAGAGAUGAAAAAAUCAGUUCCAAACUGGCCCCAGAUGACAAAAAGAAGAUCGAGGAUGUUAUUGAACAGGCUAUCCAGUGGUUGGAUGCUAACCAGCUUGCUGAGGCAGACGAAUUUGAGGACAAGAUGAAGGAACUAGAGAGCAUCUGCAACCCUAUUAUCGCCAAGAUGUACCAGGGUGGUGCUGGUCCUGACAUGGGUGGCGGCAUGGAUGAGGAUGUCCCAUCAGCUGGUGGCAGUGGUGCUGGCCCUAAAAUUGAAGAAGUUGACUAGGCUGCAGUUUGAGCGAGAAUAGCUGGUGGGGAAUGUUUCAGGAUGUUGCAUACUUGCAUCCACAUUCUGUUGUAGUUUGGGUGUGUACUAGUUUUCCUGUGCCUAAAACUUAGAAGUGGAAGACGGUUCUGUUUGUUGAACUGUUAUUCUGCACAUCUCCUGUGAGAUGUGAAGUUCCUAUUUCACCUUAUGUUAUUGUACAAUACUUUUUUUUUAAUGACGCAUUAUGGCAUCAAGUGUUCAUCUAAAUGCUCAUAUUUUGUGAUGAGAUAGCAGCUAAUAUUCUUCGUGAUUGAUUAUCAAUAUGACAGCAGAAAAGCUGGCUUUGAGGUCCACCCAAAGUGCCGGGAUGUCUAAUUCGAAAAGGUAUUUUAAUUGUUGAUUUGUGGCCUAGAAGAAGGGAUAAAUUUAAAUUCAUUAUUUAGAAUUAUAUAUUUUUAAAAAUUUAAUUUAAAAUGAAAAAAGAGAAUUUAUAUAAUUAAUUUUAAUAAAAAUUUAAUUAAAUUGAGUUUAAUAUUAGGAAAGGGAGG